GCCAAUGUGGUUUAGUGGUUAGAGUGUUGGACUAAGACCCGGGAGACCAGGGUUCAAAUCCCCACUUUGGCC
RNAcentral lists this transfer RNA (72 nucleotides) under Podarcis lilfordi (Lilford's wall lizard). It matches the Rfam family "tRNA". From Rfam's summary of the family: Transfer RNA (tRNA) molecules are approximately 80 nucleotides in length. The record is from Rfam by way of RNAcentral. Lineage: Eukaryota; Metazoa; Chordata; Lepidosauria; Squamata; Lacertidae.